Molecule: ribosomal RNA, 1403 nt
Filed under: uncultured bacterium
Lineage: Bacteria
Description: bacterial SSU rRNA
Rfam family: Bacterial small subunit ribosomal RNA
Source: RNAcentral
AGAGUUUGAUCCUGGCUCAGGAUGAACGCUAGCGGCAGGCUUAACACAUGCAAGUCGAGGGGCAGCGGGGAGGAAGCUUGCUUUCUCCGCCGGCGACCGGCGCACGGGUGAGUAACACGUAUGGAACCUGCCCGCAGCAGGGGGAUAAGCGGAAGAAAUUCCGUCUAAUACCGCGUAACAACGUUGGGAGGCAUCUCCCGAUGUUUAAAGAUUUAUCGGCUGCGGAUGGCCAUGCGGCGCAUUAGCUAGUCGGCGGGGUAACGGCCCACCGAGGCGACGAUGCGUAGGGGUUCUGAGAGGAAGGUCCCCCACACUGGUACUGAGACACGGACCAGACUCCUACGGGAGGCAGCAGUGAGGAAUAUUGGUCAAUGGCCGAAAGGCUGAACCAGCCAAGUCGCGUGAGGGAAGACGGCCCUACGGGUUGUAAACCUCUUUUGUCGGGGAGCAAAGAGAGCCACGUGUGGCUCAUUGAGAGUACCCGAAGAAAAAGCAUCGGCUAACUCCGUGCCAGCAGCCGCGGUAAUACGGAGGAUGCGAGCGUUAUCCGGAUUUAUUGGGUUUAAAGGGUGCGCAGGCGGAGGUGCAAGUCAGCGGUCAAAUUGCGGGGCUCAACCCCGUACUGCCGUUGAAACUGCAUCCCUUGAGUGCGCGAGAAGUAUGCGGAAUGCGUGGUGUAGCGGUGAAAUGCAUAGAUAUCGCGCAGAACUCCGAUUGCGAAGGCAGCAUGCCGGCUCCACACUGACGCUGAGGCACGAAAGCGUGGGUAUCGAACAGGAUUAGAUACCCUGGUAGUCCACGCAGUAAACGAUGAAUGCUGGCUGUCCGGGGGGAUUGACCCCUGGGUGGCGAAGCGAAAGCGAUAAGCAUUCCACCUGGGGAGUACGCCGGCAACGGUGAAACUCAAAGGAAUUGACGGGGGCCCGCACAAGCGGAGGAACAUGUGGUUUAAUUCGAUGAUACGCGAGGAACCUUACCCGGGCUCAAACGGGGAGUGACUCAGGCAGAGACGCCUGUUUCCCACGGGACACUCCCCGAGGUGCUGCAUGGUUGUCGUCAGCUCGUGCCGUGAGGUGUCGGCUUAAGUGCCAUAACGAGCGCAACCCCCGCGUGCAGUUGCUAACAGAUAACGCUGAGGACUCUGCACGGACUGCCGGCGCAAGCCGCGAGGAAGGCGGGGAUGACGUCAAAUCAGCACGGCCCUUACGUCCGGGGCGACACACGUGUUACAAUGGGUGGUACAGCGGGAAGCCAGGCGGCGACGCCGAGCGGAACCCGAAAUCCACUCUCAGUUCGGAUCGGAGUCUGCAACCCGACUCCGUGAAGCUGGAUUCGCUAGUAAUCGCGCAUCAGCCAUGGCGCGGUGAAUACGUUCCCGGGCCUUGCACACACCGCCCGUCAAG